GCCGAGCGUGGACCUUACCGUGGCGGAGACGAGGCUGCUGUUCGUCAGGGUGAGGUGGUGAGGCUCCCAUCUCCGCAGGAACUUUGAGAAUUUCUCAGGAAGGCAGCGAGGGCCAUCCCACACUACAGACAACAACAGUCACUGACACUCCCCAAGAAUGUGGCAGCACUUUUUUUCAUCUCUUGACGUCGUAACUGUCUUCAGUCUGAGUCAGGACAGCGAGCGCUAGAUGAGCAACUUGAUAGGAAGUCAAGCUUGUUGAAACUCAGAGCCUUUUCAGUGUGUGGUUGCUGAGACAGAGCCCUCACGUCCCUGCUGGGUACUCUGAUGAUAGGCUAUGCAGUCCCACAGAGCCCAGGCAGAGAAAGAAAAGCAAUCUAAAAUGCUUGGCGUCCUGUAUGUAAUGGCCUUCGUACCUCCUGACUAGCAUCUGACAAAGAAAUGAAUCAUAUGAAGCGAUACAAGCCAUAGUGACUUAACACUUGGUCACCUGACCAAUUGCGGCAACAGGAAGCGGACCACAGGAAGUCUUUUGUUGUAGGUGUGAAGAGACAUGAAAGGUGCCCAUGAGGCAAACCUUAGGUCUGGGGUCAAGCACUGAAAAAAGAAGCACUAUUGAUUGUCUCACUACUGAGAUUAGAAUGGUCUCUACAGGAAGAGGGUAAUUCUAACAUUGCUCUUUUUUCCAUACUACCCCCUCAUUACUCAACCUUACCACUGAAUUGAUGCAUUUACUCUGAACACAUUUAGGUUUCGUUUUUGUGAGACCAAGUAACGAGCCACAAAUUGAAUCACAUGUUACAACAUGAAGUUGAAAGUGAAACAGGCCUCUGUCAUGGCCUGAUCUGAUCAGCCUUUUAAAAAAUCACCUACUAUUUACUUUUUAUUACCAUGUACUACACGGUUACCAACUUUUUCCCAUUUUUUAUUUUCCCAUCUUCAAAAUGGAAAAAAAGUACAGUCAUUAAUUUCUGAGGAGCUUGGAAUGGGACAGUCAAAGAGUAAACUGGAGUUCAAAAAACUAUUACAAGAAAAUGAGUCUCUUGACAAUUUGCUUCAGCUUGCUUCACAUCUGGUAAAAAUCCACAGGUGUUUCUGUUCAUCCUUCUAUCUUGAGAAGACAACAUUAAUGCUAUGAGUCUGAAAUAAUGUGUAGCUGUCAAGACGAAAUCACUGAGAAAAGGAAAUGGACCAAAAAGAAGUAAAACAACUAAUUUAACAAAUAAGCUGCUGGAAUUAUGUGGAUCACCUGGAUAAUAUUAAGUACAAUGUAGCGGUUGGUAUUACUUGGAUCAUGAGAAACAGAAAAUGCUAACAUUCAAGACUGAACCUUGGAGGUGUGGAAAAAUUGAAAGCAAGUCUCCAGAAAAGAAUAGAAGCUGUAAUAAAGGUACAGGGUGGACACACUAAAUACUGAAAAAUGUAUAUUAUAUUCUGAAUAUUUAGUCUCUUCUGUGUAUUUUCCUGUUAAAUACAUAUUUUCCACAUAUAAUAUACAGUAUAUUUCUGUACUUAAUGACAAUUUUGACUGGAAAUUAAAUAAAUGAAUAGUGGUCCAUGACUUUUGCACAUUAGUGUGUGUUGGAAUACAAUCUUGAAAUCUUAGAAGUCUUAGAAGCAGCAGCAACAACAACAAAAACAAUAAUCAUCAUCAUCAGGCAAAAAUACAGACAUUAAUUCCAAUUCCUUUGAUUUUACAUACAAAUACAAACCCAAUCCCAAAAUGUUAAUGACCAAAUAAAAAUACAAAGCAGUGAUUUAUAAAUCUACUUUGAUCUGUAUUUGAACAAAAACAGUACAAA
Pygocentrus nattereri (red-bellied piranha) is the source of this 1802-nucleotide long non-coding RNA. RefSeq lists it as uncharacterized. The record is from RefSeq and is a predicted model, not a curated record. The transcript is spliced from 3 exons. Lineage: Eukaryota; Metazoa; Chordata; Actinopteri; Characiformes; Serrasalmidae.